CCUACGGGUGGCAGCAGUGGGGAAUAUUGCACAAUGGGGGAAACCCUGAUGCAGCGACGCCGCGUGGGUGAAGAAGUAUUUCGGUAUGUAAAGCCCUAUCAGCAGGGAAGAAAAAUGACGGUACCUGACUAAGAAGCACCGGCUAAAUACGUGCCAGCAGCCGCGGUAAUACGUAUGGUGCAAGCGUUAUACGGAUUUACUGGGUGUAAAGGGAGCGCAGGCGGCACGCUAAGCCUGAUGUGAAAACCCGCGGCCCAACCGCGGGAGUGCAUUGGGAACUGGCGAGCUGGAGUGCCGGAGGGGCAGGCGGAAUUCCUAGUGUAGCGGUGAAAUGCGUAGAUAUUAGGAGGAACACCAGUGGCGAAGGCGGCCUGCUGGACGGAGACUGACGCUGAGGCUCGAAAGCGUGGGGAGCAAACAGGAUUAGAUACCCUGGUAGUC
RNAcentral lists this ribosomal RNA (441 nucleotides) under uncultured bacterium. RNAcentral describes it as "partial 16S ribosomal RNA". It matches the Rfam family "Bacterial small subunit ribosomal RNA", at positions 338 to 795 of the family's 1533-position model. The record is from RNAcentral.